This is a long non-coding RNA of Triticum aestivum (bread wheat), 1221 nucleotides long. RefSeq lists it as uncharacterized. The transcript is spliced from 3 exons. The record is from RefSeq and is a predicted model, not a curated record. Lineage: Eukaryota; Viridiplantae; Streptophyta; Magnoliopsida; Poales; Poaceae.
UUGUUAAUUUCUGGUCUUACUAGCGUAUAUAUUCAUUUCUAUUUUGUGCUCAUGGGCCCUUGAUGUAUUACGUACGUGUGUUAGGUUGAAGCAUGAGGCUGGAAGGGGUCUUGUGCGAGGACUAGCGUUUGCUUCAGUCAAACCAAAAUACUUCUAAAAUUGCAGCUGCACUUGUUGGUCUGAUGUACAUGAGAAGCCCCAAUUUUGUUGGCAAUAGAUGCAUGGUUUCCCAGUAAUUAAAAUAACUUAAUUUUUUUAUAUGAUGUAUGGUAGUCAUGUGUCUGAUGUUCUUCGUGUAUCGGAUUCCAAGAGUUUUAGGAUGGGCGGUACGGUUCCCAUGUUUGAUGUUUUUUACUUUCGCAAAAUUGGUUGAUGCUGAUGAGAAUGGCAACGGUGGUCUUUGACACUUAUAUUUUUAAUGUAUAUAAUGUUCCCAGUUUUAUUGUUUUACUCUCUUUGGUUCAAUAAGAUUAAGAUACAUACUUUGCCUUGUGCUGAAUCUGAUGUCGUUUAAAUUCUAGAAUUUUUAGGAUGGGUUGCAAGUUUCUCUUGUAGGACGUUUUCUUGGUUUCUUAAUUUUUUUUGUGAUAACAUAGGUGAUUCUGUUUGUACCUCAAACUUGCCUUUCUAUGUUUAAGUUUCAAGAAGACAUUAUUUGAUGUUAGAUGGCCAUUAUGUUUGUUUCAUGUGGCAGAGGACUAAUGGUACUCUUCCAUGAAGAGAAGCAAGUUGAUCAGUAUGUAGUAGCAGGCAUUGGUGAAGAUUUGAGAGGCAGGGAGGGAUUGCUCAAGUGGAAACAGAGCAAGAACCAAAAGGAGCUUAAGAUUUUGCUACUACCUUGCUAAUAGCUUUGUGAGAUUAGUUAGGUAUUAUCCAGGCCUAGGUACCCGUCCUUGAUGAUGGCUUCCACAAGCUAAGGUGCAGGGGUGAACUAAGUUGGGAUUUUGCAGCAGCGACGGUCACAACUAUCGGUGGAGAUCGAGCUAACGACCUCACAAAAAAUUCUACAGAUUCAUCAAACACCGAAGGAGGUUAGUGUGUACCUGAGCGGGAACGGUGGCCGUUGUGGUCUUGCUGGAGCCUCCCUUGCCGUGGAAAGUCACCAGCUUCAGGGAGCGACAGUGGCAACUGCAAGGAUUUGGCUUGCCGCUACGAGCAACGGCGACCCCAUUUGCUGAUUCCGCAGCUCCGAGCUGCAGCAGGAGCUACUGGGCGGCCGAG